GUUAGAGGAGGCAGGUAGCCUAGUGGUUAGAGGAGGCAGGUAGCCUAGUGGUUAGAGGAGGCAGGUAGCCUGGUGGUUAGAGGAGGCAGGUAGCCUGAUGGUUAGUGGAGGCAGGUAGCCUGGUGGUUAGAGGAGGCAGGUAGCCUGGUGGUUAGAGGAGGCAGGUAGCCUGGUGGUUAGAGGAGGCAGGUAGCCUGGUGGUUAGAGGAGGCAGGUAGCCUGGUGGUUAGAGGAGGCAGGUAGCCUGGUGGUUAGAGGAGGCAGGUAGCCUGGUGGUUAGAGGAGGCAGGUAGCCUGGUGGUUAGAGGAGGCAGGUAGCCUGGUGGUUAGAGGAGGCAGGUAGCCUAGUGGUUAGAGGAGGCAGGUAGCCUGGUGGUUAGAGGAGGCAGGUAGCCUAGUGGUUAGAGGAGGCAGGUAGCCUGGUGGUUAGAGGAGGCAGGUAGCCUAGUGGUUAGAGGAGGCAGGUAGCCUAGUGGUUAGAGGAGGCAGGUAGCCAAGUGGUUAGAGGAGGCAGGUAGCCUGGUGAGCCUUGCAGUCUUAGACUGGCUAACACUUGUUCUCAAUGUGUGUGUGUGUGUGUGUGUGUGUGUGUGUGUGUGUGUGUGUGUGUGUGUGUGUGUGUGUGUGUGUGUGUGUGAGUGUGUACAGUAGGGUGUUUCCUGUGAAUGACGUCUGUAAAACACACUGCUUUGUGAUGGCUCCCUUCAUGUGGUUCCCUUCCUACAGUUAUUAGACCCACAAAAUUGGCUAUGACUUGGGAACUGUGACGCAUGUGUUGCGUGGGUAGCGUUAGCAGCUACCACUAGCGCCAACCACAUCUGUUGUGUAUUUAGCAUUAGCGGCUACCGCUAGCUCCAACCACAUCUGUUGUGUAUUUAGCAUUAGCGGCUACCGCUAGCUCCAACCACAUCUGUUGUGUAUU
Long non-coding RNA from Oncorhynchus tshawytscha (Chinook salmon), 922 nucleotides. Lineage: Eukaryota; Metazoa; Chordata; Actinopteri; Salmoniformes; Salmonidae. The record is from Ensembl.